RNAcentral lists this ribosomal RNA (492 nucleotides) under uncultured bacterium. RNAcentral describes it as "partial 16S ribosomal RNA". It matches the Rfam family "Bacterial small subunit ribosomal RNA", at positions 29 to 507 of the family's 1533-position model. The record is from RNAcentral.
AGUGAACGCUGGCGGUAGGCCUAACACAUGCAAGUCGAACGGCAGCACAGUAAGAGCUUGCUCUUACGGGUGGCGAGUGGCGGACGGGUGAGGAAUACAUCGGAAUCUACUUUUUCGGGGGGGAUAACGUAGGGAAACUUACGCUAAUUCCGCAUACGACCUACGGGUGAAAGCAGGGGAUCUUCGGACCUUGCGCGAUUGAAUGAGCCGAUGUCGGAUUAGCUAGUUGGCGGGGUAAAGGCCCACCAAGGCGACGAUCCGUAGCUGGUCUGAGAGGAUGAUCAGCCACACUGGAACUGAGACACGGUCCAGACUCCUACGGGAGGCAGCAGUGGGGAAUAUUGGACAAUGGGCGCAAGCCUGAUCCAGCCAUACCGCGUGGGUGAAGAAGGCCUUCGGGUUGUAAAGCCCUUUUGUUGGGAAAGAAAAGCAGCAGGUUAAUACCCCGCUGUUCUGACGGUACCCAAAGAAUAAGCACCGGCUAACUUCGUG